UUCUCAGCCCGGUGUUAAUACCAAUAGGUCACGUCUUUUUCUCUCAAUUAUUUAUCGGUUCUCAUCAGUACCUGUUCAGCAGGCUGUUUCAUUUAUUUGUCAAACUGUAUUCGGAAUAUUUUUAGCACUUAAAAUCAGAAAAUGCCCUACAAUCCUUCCUUUAAAAAGCUGUAUGAUCUGAUUUGGUUGAUGCCUGCCACAAUGAAGAAAAGCGUUUUCUUGCUUCUCCUUGUGAAGCACUUUGAGAUCUACUGAUGACAAAUGCUAUUUAAGAGUUAGUUAUUAUUUUGUUUGAUCUUUCAGGUAUCUUCAGUCAAAAAAAAAUCAAGCCCCUGGCUCACUUUAUAAGGAUGGCAGUGCCUCAUGGCUGGGCAAAGAAAUUUGCUGGUGCAAUUGGGAACCUUUGCAACGAACUUUGAAAUUCAGCAGGUUCCUUCCAAACUUCCCAGGCUCCUUGACAUCUUGCUUUCCCAGGUACGUUUGCUUAUUUUUUCAGUAAUUAGCAUGAAGCCAUGCUGUGCAGUGAAAUUUCAGCUUCUGCUAAAGUAUGGUUAUAUCUAGUUCUAUAUUCUCUGGGCCUAAUUCUGAUCUCAUUCACAAAGGUAUGAAUAAGGAACUAACACCAUAAACGUCCAUGAUGUCACACCAACGUAAAAGUGGUUUAUUAAAGAUUGGGCCCAGCACAGUGGUAUGGUGGUGAAAUGUAAUGGUCUGUGAUACACAGCCAGUCAGAAUAGCUAUUCUAAGGGUGCCUUCUGGAUUAAAACCUCUAUGGGUGUGUCUAUAUUGUAGCGCAGCCCAACUCAGACUCAAAAAAUAGUAAUUGGAGAUAUACUUAUCUCCUAGACCUGGAAGGGAUCUUGAAAAGUCAUGGAGUCCAGCCCCCUGCCUUUACUAGCAGGACCAAAUACUGACUUUUGCCCCAGAUCCCUAAGUGGCCUCCUCAAGAAUUGAACUCACAGUGCUGGUUUUAGGAGACUAAUGCUCAAAGCACUGAGCUAUCCCUCCCCUUCAAGCCUAAACCCCCUUCUGUCUACAAACAAAUCUUGCUCAACUGGAACUUGGACCAAAAGUCCCAGGGCCUCCUAGGUGGAGGGUCUGAGCCUCAGACAAGUCAGCCCUUUUGCUCUGCAGUGUAGAUGCAGCCCCACUGGACUCAUGCUCUGGGAAUCUGCCAAAAGUAUCCCACAAUCCCAUGGGCCAAUUUUCUUUGUCCCCCAUAUAGUCAAGUUCGGUGAACAAUCAAGUUUUCCCACACUGCACUUCAAACAAAGGAUUUAGGGCAGUCAUAUUUUGGGAUGGUGCUGUAAGGCAUAUGGGUAGCUGGACUCGGGCCUCAGAAUGCAGUGUAGACACUGGAGCCUCAGGGUUCAACAAUUACUAACCUGGAAUUACAAACGAGUAUAGCAGAUAUUCAAGCCUAGCUUAACAAACCCGGGAUCUGCUAACAUGAGUUCUACUAACCCUGGGCUUACAUUGCAGUGUAGACAUACCCUGUCAAACUAUGAGAUCAGAAUCAGACCUUCAGCAUCUAGUUCUUUCAGACCUAUGCUGUAUUGUUCCAAGAUCAAGUUAAAACUAACUUGGGGCUGGGAUUGUCACUUGCUGUGUGCUGGGUACAAUGUCCAGCCCAAUGGGGUCUUGAACCUGAUUGGGAUCACUACAUGAGACAACAAUACAAAUAAUGAUAAUAGUCUUUAUUAUUAGUUGCCUCCCUAAUGGAGAAUAUUCUGACCCUUAUACUUUCUUGCAGACCUAGGUGAACUAUUUGGAGUGGCCAGUUAAUUUUAAAAUAAUCAACCAAUAAAUAAAGGCCUCAUCUUCUGAUCACAAAUAGUGAAAAGCAUUUGAACUUCAUUCAUUUCUCAAGUCUAUCCAGUGAACGGUUCAUGUGAACAAAUUAUUAACCAACACUAAUAUUAGUAUAUGCAAACUGUAUGAAUUAUUAAUAUUAUUAUAUGCACAUCUCAUGAAUUAUUAACCAUCACCAAUACUCUGAGUAUUUGCUACUCGUAAGUCAUUAUUCAUGCUCUAUGAAUGGUCACGUAAUGCCCAUAUUAUUGUUUCUUGUCCCUGAUGAUGACUCCCUAAUCCACAGAGUUUUUACCAUGACUGUGCAAACAUUUCUGCUGUUCAAAUACAUAUUUGCCUAAGCAUUUGUAGCACAUUCUCUUUCUGCAAACAUUUUUGCCAACAAAAAUAUGCAUGGAAGAAAGACACCUCAGGCAACAUUUUUCAAAAGCACCUAUCAUCAACACCUCAAAGGUCGUCAGGUGCCUAACUCUCAUUGAAUUCAUUGGUAUGCCUGUGCAACCG
Gopherus flavomarginatus (Mexican gopher tortoise) is the source of this 2316-nucleotide long non-coding RNA. RefSeq lists it as uncharacterized. The record is from RefSeq and is a predicted model, not a curated record. The transcript has 3 exons. Lineage: Eukaryota; Metazoa; Chordata; Testudines; Testudinidae.